This 959-nucleotide long non-coding RNA is filed under the name Homo sapiens (human). RNAcentral describes it as "HSALNT0324009". Lineage: Eukaryota; Metazoa; Chordata; Mammalia; Primates; Hominidae. The record is from RNAcentral.
UGAGAUUUUUUUUAAACCUGAUGUCACAUCCAGGACAAACAAGAGAAGUCCUUUUAACCAAAUAGGACUCCUAUAUAACAAGAGUCUUUGAGAAGAGAGUCGUAUGACCUAAGAUGUCCCCUCCAACUACUUUGAUAUAAUGGCACAUGGAAGUGUGUCAUAAAGUGGGAGAAAAAGUGCAAGAAUUCCUCAAGACCCAUAUGUAAGGUUUUCUAUAAUUCACUUUGUAUGCUACAAUUGUUUGCCCUGCAUAGUGCCAGGAAGAUAUAAAAAUGUGAAAUGAACAAAUAUUGUUUAAGAGUUUAAAGAUACUUUGGAUGUCAUGACUCCAAUAAUAUUACCUUACAGAUCAACACCUGUGUUAGUCCAUUCUCAUGCUGCUAUGAAGAAAUACCUGAGACUGGGUCCAACACCAUAUGGAAGCUGCCAAGGCUUGAAGCAAUGGCCUAAGCUGGAUCUCGACCCCUUUUAGCCACAGCUGAAACUGGAAUGGCUGGGAUGCAGGACACCAAGUCCCAAGGCUGCACAGAGCAACAGGUCCCUGGGCCAGGCCCAGCAUUAGGCCUAUCAAGUGUCAUGCACAGCUCAAGAGGAAAUGCUAUCUGGAAAUCCCCCAACUCCCAUGGAAAUUCCCAGCUGGCUCCCUGUACACUGCAGAUACCUGAAGUGGUUUUGAAGACUGGGCAGCUAAGACCUAAGUGAAGAAGAAUUCCUCCCCUGCAAGGAUGACCAAGAACCCAGCCGCUCUGUUUCCUUCCCGACUGGAGUCCUCUUCUCCACUGAUCUUCAGGCUCGUGUGGAAAAACCGAUAAAAUAGAAAAAGCAAUCGGAAGAAUAUAAAAAUCACUGAUAAUCCCGCCACCUAGAGAAAACUACUGUUAGUAUUUUGAGUGUAUUUCCCUCCAGCUUUUUUCUAUAUAUGUGUAUGUAUUUAUAAUAUAUAAAUAAUAUACUAUAUA